This 1176-nucleotide long non-coding RNA is filed under the name Felis catus (domestic cat). RNAcentral describes it as "lncRNA (ENSFCAG00000048416.1)". The record is from RNAcentral. Lineage: Eukaryota; Metazoa; Chordata; Mammalia; Carnivora; Felidae.
AUGCGGGUAAAACCCCCUCCCGGAUGGGUCCCUCCUGAAUCGAGAGGUGAGGACCCGGUUCGCAGGUUCUCCGUGAGCAAGGACCACCCAUCACCGCCUCCCCCUCCCCCUCCCCGCCCUGGUGUGACCACUUUUGAUCCCGCCCCAGACAAAGGCAAUAUGUACUCCAGCAGAACGAAUAAGGGGAUCAGGUUGCUCUCUCGGCCUCCCCUCACUGCCCCCCUCCUAGAUUCUCCCCUUCCCCACGUGACUCUCUGGAAUCUCUGCCAAAGCUCCGAGUCCCUGGGUCCAUUUUCACACCGAGCAAAGGAGAGAGGAAGGAGGGGAGGGAGACGGAGGGAGGCGGAGCGUGUGUCCUUUAAACGCUGGGAUCCAGAGGGGGCCUUAUUUUGUGCGUAUGCAGGCUCUCUAGUCCGAGUGGCAGCAUUGACUUCGGGAUCCCUUCCAGCCUCCCUAGCUCUUUCCUCCGUGCAUUUAAAAUUAUGGCGCCUCCUGCACUCCCGUAAUCACACCUCAACCCUGCACACCAGCGCCGGGUGUACAGCGCCGAGGUGGCAGUCCGCGUGGAGCAAGCCGCGCCCCCACAGCCCUCCUCACCCUGGAGAGCGGCGGAGGCGAGAAAGUAGCAGCAGCGCCCCCCGAGGCGCCGCCCCCGUUCUUUUCGAGGAAGCUUUCGAACCGGCUGCUGCAGGGAGCGCGGCCAGAGGCGGCGCCGUGCGGCUGCAGCGCCGCCGAGUCCGGGAGCUGCCCGCAGCGCGGCACAAAGUUUCCAGAGAGCGGCCACCGGGGGCUGAGGUCCGCGGAGCCGGGUGGCCCGGCCUAGGGGUGGGUGGGUCUUUCUGGGCUCCCGGCGACCCCCUCUGCCUACGCAGCGCCGACGUAGAGUGUCAAGCGAACUUUAAAAAGCUGCUCCGGACCAACCUGCGCCGGGAUCUCCACGGCCGGGGACCCAGGAGCGGACGCAUCGGGUCUGAGAGAAAUGCUGGGAGGUCCGAUGAGCCUGUGACGGGAACUUUCCGGCGAGUCUACAGUGGAGAACUGCGCUCUGCCUCCUCUUUUAUUCUCCAAGCUCAGCCCACGUUGGCGUGCUGCUCCGCGGGAGACCUGAGCGCGCUCUCCGUCCGGGCAGUGGGUGAAUUGAAUCCCCCGCGCGGCCCGGCGCCUCCGGGCUGCUGA